CUCCCGGUAAGUGUAUCGGCCAUCCACCAAUGUUGCUCCAACAAGUCCUCCAGGACCUGCCACAGAUGCAGCCAAACGGUGGCACGAUAUUAAGCUUCCUGUCACCAACUUCACUAUUUCAAAGUUUUUCUUUAGGUCUUGAAUAAUGCUCUUGUCUUGCUUUUGGUAAGUUUGUUUUAUAAAAGAACGUGUGAUUUCAUGGAGUUGACGCAAUGCUGGUACCACCCAAACAAACUGAGGAUUAUUGUGCUGGGAUGACCUCUUAAUAUCCUCAAUGCAUUUGAUGAUGUAGCUUCUUUUGAUUGCCUCUUUCACUGCAUAGGCAUCACUGAGGAUUGUCAGGUGUUCCUCCAAUGCCUGCUGAAUAAGACUGCAUGGUAAUGUUGGAAGAUGAGCCAGCUCCCAAAGCACCUCCAGAACCUUUCCAGUGGUUGUCUCCACCCGUGCUUCUCGACCAAUGCGCCCUAUCAGGCUCAACAGCUUCUGCC
This 488-nucleotide long non-coding RNA is filed under the name Gallus gallus (chicken). The record is from RNAcentral. Lineage: Eukaryota; Metazoa; Chordata; Aves; Galliformes; Phasianidae.